This 615-nucleotide ribosomal RNA is filed under the name uncultured bacterium. RNAcentral describes it as "bacterial SSU rRNA". It matches the Rfam family "Bacterial small subunit ribosomal RNA", at positions 338 to 950 of the family's 1533-position model. The record is from RNAcentral.
CCUACGGGAGGCAGCAGUGGGGAAUCUUGCGCAAUGCGCGAAAGCGUGACGCAGCAACGCCGCGUGAGGGAAGACGGCCUUCGGGUUGUAAACCUCUUUCAGUUGGGACGAAGCCACGGCGGUUAAUACCCGUCUGUGGUGACGGUACCUUCAGAAGAAGCCCCGGCUAACUACGUGCCAGCAGCCGCGGUAAUACGUAGGGGGCAAGCGUUGUCCGGAAUCAUUGGGCGUAAAGCGCGUGUAGGCGGCUUGGUAAGUCCGCUCUGAAAGCCCGGGGCUCAACCCCGGGAGGCGGGUGGAUACUGUCAAGCUCGAGUCCGGAAGAGGCGAGUGGAAUUCCUGGUGUAGCGGUGAAAUGCGCAGAUAUCAGGAGGAACACCAAUGGCGAAGGCAGCUCGCUGGGACGUGACUGACGCUGAGACGCGAAAGCGUGGGGAGCAAACAGGAUUAGAUACCCUGGUAGUCCACGCCGUAAACGAUGGGCACUAGGUGUGGGAGGUGUCGACUCCUCCCGUGCCGAAGCUAACGCAUUAAGUGCCCCGCUGGGGAUACGGCCGCAGGCUAAAACNCAAAGGAUUGACGGCUGAGAGNGCGACGACGACGACGAGGGAGAGG